Molecule: long non-coding RNA, 398 nt
Filed under: Numida meleagris (helmeted guineafowl)
Lineage: Eukaryota; Metazoa; Chordata; Aves; Galliformes; Numididae
Description: lncRNA (ENSNMEG00000018792.1)
Source: RNAcentral
UUUUAAAAAAUAACCCACAACCUGAAAGACAAAUUAUUUAUUUCCUUGUGUUCCUAGAAGAUACUAAAGACAUGCGGACUACUCUGCAGUACAAUCCCAGGAAGAGCACUGGAACUGAAGACACAGGGGAUGAGAGCCCUGGAAGAAACUCCUGAAUAAACCUGAUCUCAUGUUUUUGUUCCUGAAAUACAGAAGGCUUUGAGACAUGUCUUCUUCCUUCGCUCCUCAAAGGGCUGCGGUAGAGAACAUGAAUUAUGAUGAAUCCUGUGGCUGGUAACAGCAUGUCAGAAGUGGGCACCUCCCUUGGGACAGGACAGAAAGCACAGCCUUCCUUCUUCCUGCCUGCUGCAGCCAGAGCUCAUGCUAUGGAAGAGAAGGUUCAGAACAAACGUACUUAG